Molecule: ribosomal RNA, 448 nt
Filed under: uncultured bacterium
Lineage: Bacteria
Description: bacterial SSU rRNA
Rfam family: Bacterial small subunit ribosomal RNA
Source: RNAcentral
AGUUGAUCAUGGCUCAGAACGAACGCUGGCGGCAGGCCUAACACAUGCAAGUCGAGCGCCCCGCAAGGGGAGCGGCGGACGGGUGAGUAACGCGUGGGAACGUACCCUUUGCUACGGAAUAGCCUCGGGAAACUGGGAGUAAUACCGUAUGUGCCCUUCGGGGGAAAGAUUUAUCGGCAAAGGAUCGGCCCGCGUUGGAUUAGGUAGUUGGUGGGGUAAUGGCCUACCAAGCCGACGAUCCAUAGCUGGUUUGAGAGGAUGAUCAGCCACACUGGGACUGAGACACGGCCCAGACUCCUACGGGAGGCAGCAGUGGGGAAUCUUAGACAAUGGGCGCAAGCCUGAUCUAGCCAUGCCGCGUGAGCGAUGAAGGCCUUAGGGUUGUAAAGCUCUUUCAGUGGGGAAGAUAAUGACUGUACCCACAGAAGAAGCCCCGGCUAACUCCGUG